Molecule: transfer RNA, 67 nt
Filed under: Ictidomys tridecemlineatus (thirteen-lined ground squirrel)
Lineage: Eukaryota; Metazoa; Chordata; Mammalia; Rodentia; Sciuridae
Description: Spermophilus tridecemlineatus (thirteen-lined ground squirrel) tRNA
Rfam family: tRNA
About the family: Transfer RNA (tRNA) molecules are approximately 80 nucleotides in length.
Source: Rfam by way of RNAcentral
GGGGCUGUAGCUCAGUGGUAAAGCACUUGCCUCCCAUGUAAGGCACUGGGUUUAAUCCCCAGCCCCA